AGAUGUCCUCGUUCCGUUUCCGAAGCUCCUGAAAGAUAGAGGGCUCUGGUUUCUUCAGUGUCCUGUGGGAGAGAAGGAGGGAAUGCAGCAGAUUUGCUACCUGUGGACUUCCUUCUCCUCCUCCUUCCAGAAAAUCAUCCAUUAUAACAAAGAUUAAAAAAAAAAAAGAGGAAGAAAAGAAAAAUAUUCAGUAAAUCCAUCAGCAUCUUGAAGAAAACUGCCAUUACUUGCAAUAUUCCAUAUUAUGGUCCUCGACCUCUGUAAAGAACCAGGGAAAAUAUCUUGUCAUAUCUCUUCUUUGGAGCCAAAUUUAUUUUAUAAUUUUGCAACAUUCAAUUACAAUUAUUUUGUGUUUUCCCCUCCA
Molecule: long non-coding RNA, 364 nt
Organism: Antechinus flavipes (yellow-footed antechinus)
Lineage: Eukaryota; Metazoa; Chordata; Mammalia; Dasyuromorphia; Dasyuridae
Exons: 2
Source: RefSeq, a predicted model, not a curated record